RNAcentral lists this long non-coding RNA (1193 nucleotides) under Androctonus crassicauda. The record is from RNAcentral. Lineage: Eukaryota; Metazoa; Arthropoda; Arachnida; Scorpiones; Buthidae.
AACAAGACUGCAGAAAUUACUGUUAUACAGUAGUGCAGAUGAAAAGAGAUGCAAAUAAGUUUAAAAUAUGUAGUUGUAAUUAGACUCUUAAUCAACAAAUCAGCAAAUGAAAUAUGUGCGCGCGCGCGUACACACACACACACACACACUUGCACUAUGUAAUUGUGAAACAAACAAGUGGGCGAAGAGGUAGGAUGAGAAGUUGUAUAUAUCUGAAUUUACAUUGAGUCGGAGAUAUGCAACUUCUCAUGCUACUCGAAGUCGUGCUUAUCAUCUAGCAUACAGUAAUAGGCCAACUUACCUUACAUAAGUUGGGCUAUUACUGUAUGCUAGAUGUCAAGCAAUCUUCAUGUCCUUUACUUCCAUAACAGGAGGGAAUGUUUGAAAAUAGGCAAGAUAUCAUGCCAAUUGGACUAAAACUAAGAGAGAUCUCUACUCUUCAUGGGUGAGUCCAGAUUCGCUCUAUAAUAUGAUUUCAAGAGUAUUCUGAUUUGGAGAGAAUCAAGGAAUUUUUGCUAAUUUCUCUCUGAUUCAAGAAAUUAACAUUUAUGGUAAAAGUAAUAUAAUAGUUUAGAAUAGCAUUUUAUUAGGUGACCAUACAGAAUCUCUACAUGUUUCCUAGAGGAAAUAUAAAUGCUAGAAGGUAUAGGGAUGAAGUCAGAUCAUAUUGUUCACCAAUGUGUAAGUGCAAUUGAAGGUUCUUUUAUCCUAUACAGGAUAAUGAUGCUUGACCAAACUGGUAAGCAAAUCUUUCAAGAUCAAACUAUUAUUUAUAUGGAUUGGCCAACCAGACUUCCUAACCCUAUUGAGUUGGGCCAUAUUUAUUCUUCUCAGGACCUUACAGACAUCAGUAAGAAUUUUAAAAAAUGCAUAUAUACUUUAUUAAUGCAAUUACAGAUAACUCUCAUAUAAUAUGGCACUUCUAUAACAUUGUAAUUUUUUAAAUGUGUUAAAUAAAAACAGAGUUGUAGAAGUACAGUGUCAUAUGAGAGUUUCUGCAAUUUUCAGUUCAUGUUAGAGUGAAAUUGUGUUGUAGGAAGUCAUGUAAUAGGAGGGAUACCUGUACUACCAAGAUUAGAUUGACUAUGGUGAUUGAAUCUAUAUAAUAUUAUUAUGCCAUAUUGUUCAAUGAUUAAAAAGUACACAAUCCCAUAUGGAAAAAUAUCUUACCAAUAAUAUGAUAGUUAAGAUCA